UGUACUUAUACAAUAAUUUUUCUGGUUUAUAUGAAUAUGAAUACAGUUUAUACAUGAAAUAUCAUAUAGUUAUUCGCAAAUAUGUCGGUAUAUUGCGUCACAGUACUAUUCAUUUCAUCUAGUUUAAGCGCGAACGCAUACCUACAGUAUACAGUUGUAUUGUACAUGUAAACUGAAUGUUUUAGGACUUUUAUUUAAAAAAACAUCAAAAAUGCGGAGAUUUGGAAUUGGAAGAACGCUGCUGUCACAUCAUGACGAUGCCUCAAUGCGUAUGGGUUACUUUGCAAGUCUCAAGGAAUAUAUAAUGGGAUUUUUUAAAGGCAAAAAAGGAGGUACCGCUGCUGCUGCUUCAAAGUAUUCGUUAUUAUCAAGUACAUCAACAUGGUCUUCAGAAAGUGAUAAGGAAAUUAAGAAGUAAGUAUUUUCUUGCCAUUGCUUUCAAUUUUCAAACUAGCCAAUUAGUUAUUUUAAUAUAAAAUAACUCGCAAAGUUAGCGUACUGUACAUUAUAUUUACACCUAUUAUUUUUAAGGCGUCUUCUUCUGCGUAAAAAGUCGUUUCAAAUAGAAGAUAGCGACCAUAAAGACACAGAAGAAAAAGAAGAUUAUCUUAUCGUUUUAUUCAUUCGUUUUCUAACUGGUGUUGCGCUCACACAAGGAUUUUAUUUGGUCUUAACAUACAACAGCAAAUGGAAGCCCAGCAAAGCUGCGUGGUGGACUGGUACCAUAGGUUUUCUUGUUGCUCUGGGAAUGGCGUUUUCUAAAAUGGUUCGAACAGUUGUUGCGCUACUGUUACCAUCUUUUUGUACCAGCAAAGGCAGGACUAUUAUAAUGGCGUUCUGCAUGAUGCUGCUAGUAACUGGACCUACUACGAAUAUAACAUACAACUAUAAGCAGAUGUCUCGCUCGCUAACCUGCGGGGAUGAACUGGGAUACAAUGUGUCUCAGGUAUGAACUACGUGUUAUACUUUUAUUCAUAUUUAAUGAUGUAUGCGUGUAUCAGUUACAUAAGUAGUAACUUGUAAGCUGGCACGUAGUGUAUGAAACAAAACAGAAAACACUCGUGUUCUUGUUUUACCGGCCACGCGACAGCAAUAACGCAUGUUAUACACGGAAUACACCCAUUCAUUUAUAAUGUUAAAGGGUCUUAAAGCGCUGGUACAUGACGGUCAAAACGCCGUUCUAUCUACAAUGGAAGACACUGUUGAUACAAUAAUUGAAGCAGUCGAGACCGCGCAAGAAAUGUACACAGAAUUCGCUGCAAACCUACAAUCUAUUGGUCGUGUUGUUAAUAGAAUGAACCACUUUAUACGAAACAUGGGAAGCGUCUGCAGUCAAAAACUGGGGUCAUUUUUAUGCAUUAUACCAAGAUUUGUGGCUAAACAGGCGAAGAAACUAAUUACUGCUCCGGUCAAAAAAGCCAUCGAAAGAAUAAAGGUU
This is a non-coding RNA of Ciona intestinalis (vase tunicate), 1438 nucleotides long. The record is from RefSeq and is a predicted model, not a curated record. Lineage: Eukaryota; Metazoa; Chordata; Ascidiacea; Phlebobranchia; Cionidae.